RNAcentral lists this ribosomal RNA (328 nucleotides) under Melomys cervinipes (faun-footed melomys). RNAcentral describes it as "partial 16S ribosomal RNA". It matches the Rfam family "Archaeal large subunit ribosomal RNA", at positions 2005 to 2439 of the family's 2987-position model. Lineage: Eukaryota; Metazoa; Chordata; Mammalia; Rodentia; Muridae. The record is from RNAcentral.
CGGCCGCGGUAUCCUGACCGUGCAAAGGUAGCAUAAUCACUUGUUCCUUAAUUAGGGACUAGCAUGAAUGGCCAAACGAGGAUUCAACUGUCUCUUAUUUUUAAUCAGUGAAAUUGACCUUUCAGUGAAGAGGCUGAAAUACUAAAAUAAGACGAGAAGACCCUAUGGAGCUUAAAUUAAAAGUUUAACUUUACUUCCAUCAGCCUAAUGGCAUAACACAAAAAUUUUAAACUCUAAAUUUCGGUUGGGGUGACCUCGGAGAACAAAAAAUCCUCCGAAUGAUUUUAACAUAGACCAACAAGUCAAAGUAACCUAAAAAUCUUAUUGA